UUCUUCUUGCCAAACAGAACAAACAUUUAAAAACAUUUUAAAAAUUAAGUCGAAUAAGUAAGUAAUGCAAACACCCUCUUAACCUUCCGAGCCCUAGCUCUCAGGCGAUUUAGGCGACCCUACCGCCGGUGCUUCCUUCUCAUCAUCGGUGAUGUGUUCACCUCCGUCAACCAAUUUGUGAUUUUAUAUUCUAGUUCUAGAUUUUCGUUAUGAAUUUGGUUUUGAUUUGUUGAAGGUUAGUCCACAGACUCGCAAAAUGAGAGCUGCCUCUAAAAGAAGGGGUACUGAAAUCAAAUGACAUCUAUAUCAAUGCAGAUAAGGCAUCCGUACAUCGAAAAAAAUGUGUUAGUGCUAUCGUUCCUUUUCAUCUACAGAUUUCGUCGAGAAUCAUUUAACACCUUUCUCCCUGUUCCCAAUUUCACUUGACAUUUGGAUGUCGUGACUGAUCUCUGCAAAUCUGAUUUCGUGAUUUAGAGUGAGGAUAUUUCUAAUGACGUGAUUUUUUAGAAUAUGCUUACUGGAUUUCCUUCUUACUUAAUAUACAUGCAUAUCUCUGUCUUGUGUGAUUUCAGAAGCCCCAACUACAGUAUUAUGUUCGAUUUUGUAUUUGUUGAGCUAAGGGUUAAAUUAGGACUCAUAGGGAGCAAAUUUGUACUAACCAUGUUUCAUUUUUAGGCUUGAACAGCCUUGUUAGGGGAGAACCUUCUUUCCAAAAAAAGAGAUAUGUUUCAUUUUAGGCCGGCUAUUGCAAAAUUCCGUCAUAUUGAAUUUCACAGAGCUAGAUUAAUUUAGUUCAUUGAUCUUUACCAUGUUCAAGUUAGCAGGAGGAUACUUGAGAAAUGUUUGGGAAAUAACAAAUUAUGUUGCUCAACACAUUUCCAAGGACACUUGAUCUUGUUAAAUGUGUGGUAAAUGGGUAUGUUUAUAUCGAAGAAGCUGUGUCUAGAAUGCUUUUUAUGAUGUUCUCUUUUUUGAUUAAUUUAGUUCAUUGAUCCUUUUUUUUUUAUUGAUAGGUUCUUGUGGGUUGUUAGAUACCUGAAUAUUGAUUAAUUGCAGAUGUUAAGAACAAGUGCGUGAGCAGUUCUUGCAGAAAAAAGUUAAUUGUCCAGAAGAAGUGAAAUGACUUUGAUAGGAUCAAGAUCAUGUUGGCAAAGAUAAAGAUAACUUAACUUUCAGCUUGCAGUUAUAAAGAUUGAAAUGACUUUCAUUCAUGCCUAUUUGGGAUGAUUUUUUCUGUAACCAUUUUAAUAUGAUGGCAAAACACUUAUUUUUGUAGUGAAGUUGCAUCUUUUUUCCAAUGUAUGCAGCAAAAAUGGAUUUUUUUUGCCUAUCUGUGUAGCCAUUUUUCAUAUUGAUGCAAAUUUAUGCUAUUGUUUUUGGUUGUUAAAAAUGGUAAAAUUAUAGUAAAUCACUCAUUGCUUUUAUUCGUUUGUAGAUCAUAUUACAUUUUACUUAUAGCAAUUGUUAUAAUUUGUGAUAUUGCAGAAGGCUGGAGUUGUAAGAUUAAAGAAGGAAACCACAACCUAAUUAAUAUCAUAUUGCCAGGUUGGCCGAGAUGAGACCAUGUAAUAACAAAUUUAAACAUUGCUUCUAAUCAAGAUAUGAUUAUGUUUGUAUAGAAACAAUAAAUAUGAGAAAGAUAUCUAAUUAAUUUUUUAUCUAUAUUGUACACUUCUUUUAUAG
RNAcentral lists this long non-coding RNA (1683 nucleotides) under Lactuca sativa (garden lettuce). RNAcentral's name for it is "long non-coding RNA (LSAT_LNC001330)". Lineage: Eukaryota; Viridiplantae; Streptophyta; Magnoliopsida; Asterales; Asteraceae. The record is from RNAcentral.